CAUCUCUCCAGCCCCUUCCGUAAGUUUUUUUUUAAUGUGUACGCCUUGCAUUGAGAUAAGUUCUAUGAACAGAGGCAACACUUUGGUUCUACUUUUUAAAAAUUACCUGGGGCAAUUGGAGGAGGGAACAUAUCAUCAAUCGAAAUUGGAGAAAGGACAGUAAUCUUAUUUCAGUAACAAUGGGAACCCAGCACCUCCUGGCUGGGAAGGAGGGAAAGCUCCCAGGGGAAAUGAGAGCUUCUGAUAGUCUUGGUCUACGUCUCGACACGGGAUGCCGCUCACUGCUUUUGGAAGAAAGCAGGAUAACACUGUAAAGAACAACACUUAUCCAGCCUGUAGGUAGAAAGGAGGACUCUGAAACCCCUCUUCUUUAAUCGUUAACUCUGUUGUUCGAUCUAGGUUUCCAGGUGGUGAAAGAUAAGCUUCAGUCAUUGCAGUUAAUCAGAAAGCCGUGCAGGGCAGUGUUAACCAGCAGCCUUCACUGCGGCAGACUGCACGUCAUAGGUGCUAGGAGUUAAACUUUGACUAGUGUUAGGAUAGCGCAGACAAAUGCAUGACAAUCAACCUGGACCGGUAAAUAACAAGUGAAAUAGAAAAGCAGGUCUCGGAGUGAUUUACAGUUGACAACUGAGUCUGAACAGUGUAUGCCUUUCCUCUAGCCUACGCAGGCUACCUCACAUCCCGUGGCUCUCAGAUUAAAGCUGGGAGAUUUCGAGAUUCCGAGAAGAGAACAUAUCCUGAUGAAUGACCUACAAAGAAGUGACGGGCAGAGAAAGGACUUGAUGCCCUUGUGUCAUGUGCUGAGAUGGUGUCGGAGGAGACAAAUGAAACAGGACAGGUGCGGCUGCCAUUUCCCCAAAGGACAAAGACUUCUCAGAAAAGCUGACUGAUAUGGGAGUGAGAGCCGUCCAAAGGACUUGCUAUGAAUGAUACAGGAAACCUCAGAUUCUUCAGAGACCCUGAUCACGUGUCAGUCACAACAACUGGAUAUGUCCACCUUUCUCCUUUAUGGUGUCAUACAGACUUGAGGGCGUUUGUGAUGUCCCUUUUGCCUUUGGAGUCAGAAAUGGGAGUGUGCACGUGAAAAAUCCCUUUACAAGUCAUAAAAAUCACUCAUUCUCAAUCGCUCAUGAAUAAAAACAAUAUCCCACACACGUGAGAAAAGAAAACAGACGUCUGGCAGCAGGACCGAGAGCAUACUGUUUCCAGAAUUCUUGCAAGACAAAAUGGAGUUGGAUCACUGCAGUUGAGGGGGAAAAAAAAUGAAAACAGAUGUUUCUUAAGAAUAUACAUCUCCUCCUCUUUGUUUACUCUCUUGCUCUCCCUACCCAGCCAUGCUGCCCCAGCCCCUGAAAACUGUGUUCUAAUCUGCAGAAGCCCCACGCUCUCCGAGACGGUGAGGCUGUUCAGCUGCAGAGAGCAGAUUUCUUCCAGCAGAUGUUUUAUAUUAUCUAGAUGUGCGCCUCGAGAAAGUGUCUGUUCGCGGUGCCAAAGAAAACAAUUGUGUGUAGCAGGACUUUGUUCCUCUGCCUAAAAAGAAAAACGUCCCCAAACAAGCUGACAGCUGCAAAUGGUUAGAAAUAAACUGGCUACCCCUCCGCUCUUCGCCUCCCUUCCUCUGCCCUUCCCCAGCCCCUUUGUGUCACCCUCUAGUCUCUCGAGGUGGUUGGAGCAGAAGAAAGAGAAAAGGUUAACAUGUGA
RNAcentral lists this small RNA (1701 nucleotides) under Rattus norvegicus (Norway rat). RNAcentral describes it as "uncharacterized LOC102549876". Lineage: Eukaryota; Metazoa; Chordata; Mammalia; Rodentia; Muridae. The record is from RNAcentral.